Molecule: ribosomal RNA, 227 nt
Filed under: uncultured bacterium
Lineage: Bacteria
Description: partial 16S ribosomal RNA
Rfam family: Bacterial small subunit ribosomal RNA
Source: RNAcentral
AGUAACACGUGAGCAACCUACCUUCGAGUUCGGGAUAGCCCUGGGAAACCAGGAUUAAUACCGGAUGUGGUCACAGAGGGACAUCCCACUGUGAAAAAAGGCGCAAGCCGCUCGAUGACGGGCUCGCGGCCUAUUAGCUUGUUGGUGGGGUAACGGCCUACCAAGGCGACGAUGGGUAGCUGGUCUGAGAGGACGAUCAGCCACACUGGGACUGAGACACGGCCCAG